This 433-nucleotide ribosomal RNA is filed under the name uncultured bacterium. RNAcentral's name for it is "partial 16S ribosomal RNA". It matches the Rfam family "Bacterial small subunit ribosomal RNA", at positions 29 to 507 of the family's 1533-position model. The record is from RNAcentral.
AACGAACGCUGGCGGCAUGCCUAACACAUGCAAGUCGAACGAUGCUUUCGGGCAUAGUGGCGCACGGGUGCGUAACGCGUGGGAAUCUGCCCUUGGGUUCGGAAUAACAGUGAGAAAUUGCUGCUAAUACCGGAUGAUGUCUUCGGACCAAAGAUUUAUCGCCCAGGGAUGAGCCCGCGUAGGAUUAGCUAGUUGGUGGGGUAAUGGCCUACCAAGGCGACGAUCCUUAGCUGGUCUGAGAGGAUGAUCAGCCACACUGGGACUGAGACACGGCCCAGACUCCUACGGGAGGCAGCAGUGGGGAAUAUUGGACAAUGGGCGCAAGCCUGAUCCAGCAAUGCCGCGUGAGUGAUGAAGGCCUUAGGGUUGUAAAGCUCUUUUACCCGGGAUGAUAAUGACAGUACCGGGAGAAUAAGCUCCGGCUAACUUCGUG